GCUGGGCAUGGUGGUGCAUGCCUGUAAUCCCAGCUACUCGGGAGGCUGAGGCAGGAGAAUCGCUUGAACCCAGGAGGCAGAGAUCGCAGUGAGCCGAGAUUGCACCAUUGCACGCCAGCCUGGGUGACAGAGUGAGCCUCUGUCUCAA
RNAcentral lists this small RNA (148 nucleotides) under Papio anubis (olive baboon). RNAcentral's name for it is "Metazoan signal recognition particle RNA (ENSPANG00000048878.1)". The record is from Rfam by way of RNAcentral. Lineage: Eukaryota; Metazoa; Chordata; Mammalia; Primates; Cercopithecidae.